This 827-nucleotide long non-coding RNA is filed under the name Salmo salar (Atlantic salmon). Its description in RNAcentral is "lncRNA (ENSSSAG00000088348.1)". The record is from RNAcentral. Lineage: Eukaryota; Metazoa; Chordata; Actinopteri; Salmoniformes; Salmonidae.
GGUUCAAGGAAAAAAGUUCCUAAUUAAUGAAAAGAGUGUCUAAUCAACAAUGGCAUUAUUUUCAAUUGACUCUGCAACUAGUGACUUUCUUCACAACUGCCCCCAGUUUGACACCAAAACAUUGACAACAAAUAUAUAUUGACAUAGUCUACUAAAUGAAACUGUGUAAAAAACAAAAUGAUGGAUAUUUCAUAUUUUCAUACUGAAACGCCAAUGUUAUUCUCUAAAUUGAUGGUUUAUAUUUAAGAUGAUGUUUUACAGCUUUUUUGUAAUUAUAAUUUUUUAAAAUAUUAUUAUUUAAUAUAUUUCACAUGUGACAAGGCCAGCGAGAGGGCCAGAGAUAAUAACAGACACCUGUGAUAUCUGAAAUACCCCAAAGGGCCACUAGAUGUCUGGUGAUAAAUGACAUAAAAUCCUUGAAAGAUACCAAAAUUCUGGUAGGUUACUGGCAAAAUGUGAAUGUUUCCGGUAAUAUACCCUCCAUUUGCAACCUUAACUGUACUUGCUUGGCAAGACCUUCUUGGGAUGCUUGUGGUGUAGUGUGUGGUGAGAGGUGGUAUGAUGGUAGUACUAUGAUGUCAGUAGUAGAGAUGUGUAGUGAGACAUGGUAUGAUGGUAGUACUAUGAUGUCAGUAGUAGAGAUGUGUAGUGAGACAUGGUAUGAUGGUAGUACUAUGAUAGGUAGUAGAGAUGUGUAGUGAGACAUGGUAUGAUGGUAGUACUAUGAUAGGAGUAGUAGAGAUGUGUAGUGAGACAUGGUAUGAUGGUAGUACUAUGAUGUCAGUAGUAGAGAUGUGUAGUGAGACAUGGUAUGAUGGUAGUACUAU